This 312-nucleotide ribosomal RNA is filed under the name Bacillus velezensis. RNAcentral's name for it is "bacterial SSU rRNA". It matches the Rfam family "Bacterial small subunit ribosomal RNA", at positions 82 to 387 of the family's 1533-position model. Lineage: Bacteria; Bacillati; Bacillota; Bacilli; Caryophanales; Bacillaceae. The record is from RNAcentral.
CUCCCUGAGAUUAGCGGCGGACGGGUGAGUAACACGUGGGCAACCUGCCUAUAAGACUGGGAUAACUUCGGGAAACCGGAGCUAAUACCGGAUACGUUCUUUUCUCGCAUGAGAGAAGAUGGAAAGACGGUUUACGCUGUCACUUAUAGAUGGGCCCGCGGCGCAUUAGCUAGUUGGUGAGGUAAUGGCUCACCAAGGCGACGAUGCGUAGCCGACCUGAGAGGGUGAUCGGCCACACUGGGACUGAGACACGGCCCAGACUCCUACGGGAGGCAGCAGUAGGGAAUCUUCCGCAAUGGACGAAAGUCUGAC